AUACGGAGGGUGCAAGCGUUAUCCGGAAUCAUUGGGCGUAAAGGACGCGUAGGCGGGUUUGUAAGUCAGGUGUGAAAUCCUACAGCUCAACUGUAGAACUGCACUUGAAACUACAGACCUAGAGUAUGGAAGGGGCAGAUGGAAUUAGUGGUGUAGGGGUAAAAUCCGUAGAUAUCACUAGGAAUACCGAAAGCGAAGGCGAUCUGCUGGGACAUUACUGACGCUGAGGCGUGAAAGCGUGGGGAGCAAACAGGAUUAGAAACCCUAGUAGUCC
This 274-nucleotide ribosomal RNA is filed under the name uncultured bacterium. RNAcentral describes it as "partial 16S ribosomal RNA". It matches the Rfam family "Bacterial small subunit ribosomal RNA", at positions 523 to 796 of the family's 1533-position model. The record is from RNAcentral.